Molecule: ribosomal RNA, 443 nt
Filed under: uncultured bacterium
Lineage: Bacteria
Description: partial 16S ribosomal RNA
Rfam family: Bacterial small subunit ribosomal RNA
Source: RNAcentral
CCUACGGGGUGCAGCAGUGGGGAAUAUUGGGCAAUGGAGGCAACUCUGACCCAGCAAUGCCGCGUGAAUGAAGAAGGUCUUCGGAUUGUAAAGCUCUUUAAUCAGGGACGAAAAGAAUGAUGGUACCUGAGUAAUAAGCCACGGCAAACUACGUGCCAGAAGCCGCGGUAAGACAUAGGUGGCAAGCGUUGUCCGGACUGACUGGGCGUAAAGGGAGCGUAGGCGGUCUGUUAAGUUGGAAGUGAAAGCCCGGGGCUCAACCCCGGAACUGCUUUCAAGACUGACGGACUGGAGUGUAAGAGGGGUAAGCGGAAGUCCUAGUGUAGCGGUGGAAUGCGUAGAUAUUAGGAGGAACACCAGUGGCGAAGGCGGCUUACUGGAUUAUAACUGACGCUGAGGCUCGAAAGCGUGGGUAGCAAACAGGAUUAGAUACCCUGGUAGUC